Etheostoma spectabile (orangethroat darter) is the source of this 106-nucleotide long non-coding RNA. RefSeq lists it as uncharacterized. The transcript has 3 exons. The record is from RefSeq and is a predicted model, not a curated record. Lineage: Eukaryota; Metazoa; Chordata; Actinopteri; Perciformes; Percidae.
CUGUCGACAUCUGUUUACCUCGCCUCUGGUCCGCCUUUAUCAGAUACACCGAUGUGAUUGGUGCAGCUCAGCUACAAGGGCAUAGUCAAUGAGCAGCCUUACUCAA